Phoenix dactylifera (date palm) is the source of this 1338-nucleotide non-coding RNA. The record is from RefSeq and is a predicted model, not a curated record. NCBI's taxonomy places the organism in Eukaryota, Viridiplantae, Streptophyta, Magnoliopsida, Arecales, Arecaceae.
GCAAAAGGCGAAGCUCUGUGUGGAAGCUGGAGAGCGGGGGGUCCGUUCUCCUAUCGCUUAAAAAGAGAAAACAGGGACUCCGACGAACCCUCACUUUCUUCCCUCCCUCCAUCCCCCUUCCUUUCCUUCGAUCGAAACCCUAAUCCCCUUCUCUCGGACGAUCCGUCUUCCGCCAUGGGGUUGUGGGAAGCUUUCCUCAAUUGGCUCCGAAGCUUAUUUUUCAAGCAAGAAAUGGAGCUGUCUUUAAUUGGACUUCAGAAUGCUGGGAAAACUUCGCUCGUGAAUGUCAUUGCAACUGGUGGAUAUAGUGAGGACAUGAUUCCUACAGUUGGAUUCAAUAUGAGGAAGGUGACAAAGGGAAAUGUCACAAUAAAGUUGUGGGAUCUUGGGGGCCAGCCUAGGUUUCGGAGCAUGUGGGAGAGAUAUUGCCGUGCAGUCUCUGCCAUUGUGAGAACAUCUAUACCUAUAUUUCAGGAAGAUAAGGUGACACACGCAGCUCAAAUUAGUUCUACAUCAACAAUAUAUCAAACUUCCAGUUUAUGUCUUUCACCUGUUGCCUAUCCUCAAUAUGCAUCAGGGUUGGGGUUGUAUCUUUCACACAAAAGAAUGAUUGAUCUUCUUCCGUGACGUUAGCCGUUGGAUUGCGCACCACACAGAUCUCCAACCACUAUGAAUUCAUUCAUUCAUCUGCUGCAUAGAUCUCAAAGCGACCAUUGUGUGAUCCAACGGUGGAUCCGUGUGAAUUAAGGUAUGUUGUUGAUGCAGCGGAUCGAGAUAACUUACCGAUCUCAAAAAGUGAACUUCAUGACCUUCUAAGGAAGCCAUCACUGAGCGGUAUUCCAUUGCUGGUCCUUGGAAACAAAAUUGAUAAGCCUGAAGCUCUGUCAAAGCAAGGAUUGACAGAGGAGAUGGGGCUGAAGUCCAUCACUGACAGGGAAGUUUGCUGUUUCAUGAUCUCAUGCAAGAACUCAACCAACAUUGACUCUGUUAUAGAUUGGCUUGUGAAGCACUCGAAAUCGAAAAACCGAUGAUUAGCCUCGUGGUGCUCAGAUUUUCCUCCUUUUUUUCCUGGGUACAGAGGUUGUGUAUAUGCUUGGUGGUGAGUUCUGCACUUGGCCAACUGGGGAUCUGAUUUUGUCAUUGUUGCCAACUUAUUUUGCGCUGAAUUGUUCCCUGGGGAGUGGGAUGAUCCGGGGUUUGUGCAAAAAACACUUAAUUAUAUUGAAACAUGGUGACUUGUGCUUUAUUUAUCUAUAGUGAUCUGUGUGAAAAUAUACGUCUGUGAAUUUAGAUAGUAUGAAAUAAAUGAUUUUAAUUGUCAUUUUCUGAAGAAAUUAA